RNAcentral lists this ribosomal RNA (424 nucleotides) under uncultured prokaryote. RNAcentral's name for it is "bacterial SSU rRNA". It matches the Rfam family "Bacterial small subunit ribosomal RNA", at positions 355 to 796 of the family's 1533-position model. The record is from RNAcentral.
UGGGGAAUAUUGGACAAUGGGGGAAACCCUGAUCCAGCCAUGCCGCGUGAGUGAUGAAGGCCUUAGGGUUGUAAAGCUCUUUUACCAGGGAUGAUAAUGACAGUACCUGGAGAAUAAGCCCCGGCUAACUCCGUGCCAGCAGCCGCGGUAAUACGGAGGGGGCUAGCGUUGUUCGGAAUCACUGGGCGUAAAGCGCACGUAGGCGGAUUGUUAAGUCGGGGGUGAAAUCCCGGGGCUCAACCCCGGAACUGCCUCCGAUACUGGCAAUCUUGAGUUCGAGAGAGGUGAGUGGAAUUCCGAGUGUAGAGGUGAAAUUCGUAGAUAUUCGGAGGAACACCAGUGGCGAAGGCGGCUCACUGGCUCGAUACUGACGCUGAGGUGCGAAAGCGUGGGGAGCAAACAGGAUUAGAUACCCGCGUAGUCC